Molecule: ribosomal RNA, 497 nt
Filed under: uncultured bacterium
Lineage: Bacteria
Description: partial 16S ribosomal RNA
Rfam family: Bacterial small subunit ribosomal RNA
Source: RNAcentral
GAUGAACGCUGGCGGCGUGCCUAAUACAUGCAAGUCGAGCGAACAGACGAUGAGCUUGCUCCUCUGACGUUAGCGGCGGACGGGUGAGUAACACGUGGAUAACCUACCUAUAAUACUGGGAUAACUUCGGGAAACCGGAGCUAAUACCGGCUCAUAUAUUGAACCGCAUGGUUCAAUAGUGAAAGACGGUUUUGCUGUCACUUAUAGAUGGAUCCGCGCCGCAUUAGCUAGUUGGUAAGGUAACGGCUUACCAAGGCAACGAUGCGUAGCCGACCUGAGAGGAUGAUCGGCCACACUGGAACUGAGACACGGUCCAGACUCUUACGGGAGGCAGCAGUAGGGAAUCUUCCGCAAUGGGCGCAAGCCUGACGGAGCAACGCCGCGUGAGUGAUGAAGGUCUUCGGAUCGUAAAACUCUGUUAUUAGGGAAGAACAAAUGUGUAAGUAACCAUGCACGUCUUGACGGUACCUAAUCAGAAAGCCACGGCUAACUACGUG